Molecule: ribosomal RNA, 1385 nt
Filed under: uncultured bacterium
Lineage: Bacteria
Description: bacterial SSU rRNA
Rfam family: Bacterial small subunit ribosomal RNA
Source: RNAcentral
CUGGCGGCGUGGAUAAGACAUGCAAGUCGAGCGAUGAUCCAACGAUAGCAAUAUUGGAGGGGAUUAGCGGCGAACGGGUGAGUAACACGUAGGAAUCUGCCCUGAAGUUCGGAAUAGCCCGGUGAGAGCCGGGAUAAUACCGGAUGUGAUCUUCGGAUUAAAGGCUUCNNNGCCGCUUCAGGAUGAGCCUGCGCUCCAUCAGCUUGUUGGUAGGGUAAAAGCCUACCAAGGCGAGGACGGAUAGCUGGUCUGAGAGGACGGCCAGCCACAAUGGAACUGAGAUACGGUCCAUACACCUACGGGUGGCAGCAGUCGAGAAUCAUUCACAAUGGGCGAAAGCCUGAUGGUGCGACGCCGCGUGGGGGAUGAAGGCCUUCGGGUCGUAAACCCCUGUCGGUUGCGAGUAAGGCCCGGCUUACGUCGGGAUUGAUAUUAGCAACAAAGGAAGGGGCGGCUAACUCCGUGCCAGCAGCCGCGGUAAUACGGAGGCCCCAAGCGUUGUUCGGAUUUACUGGGCGUAAAGCGUGCGUAGGCGGCGAGGUAAGUUUGGCGUGAAAGCCCCGGGCCCAACCCGGGAAAUGCGCUGAAAACUACUUCACUAGAGGUGUGGAGGGGAGUCUGGAAUUCCUGGUGUAGCAGUGAAAUGCGUAGAUAUCAGGAGGAACAUCAGUGGCGAAGGCGAGACUCUGGAAACAUUCUGACGCUGAGGUACGAAGGCUAGGGGAGCGAAGAGGAUUAGAUACCCUCGUAGUCCUAGCAGUAAACGGUGUGCACUUGCUGUGGGGGGAUUCGACCCCUUCCGUGGCGAAGCUAACGCAUUAAGUGCACCGCCUGGGGAGUACGGCCGCAAGGUUAAAACUCAAAGAAAUUGACGGGGGCCUGCACAAGCGGUGGAGCAUGUGGCUUAAUUCGAUGCAACGCGAAGAACCUUACCUGGGCUUGACAUGUUUGUCGUACCUGAGUGAAAGCUCGGGGUCAGUUCGGCUGGACAAUCACAGGUGCUGCAUGGCUGUCGUCAGCUCGUGUCGUGAGAUGUUGGUUUAAGUACCGCAACGAGCGCAACCCCUGUGUCCUGUUGCCACGGAGAACACGUUUCUCCAGCACUCUGGACAGACUGCCCCAUUUUUAGUGGGGAGGAAGGUGGGGAUGACGUCAAGUCAGUAUGGCCCUUACGCCCAGGGCUGCACACGUGCUACAAUGCCCGGCAUAAUGGGAAGCGAAAUCGCGAGAUGGAGCCAAUCCCCAAAACCGGGCCCAGUUCGGAUUGGAGUCUGCAACUCGACUCCAUGAAGUUGGAAUCGCUAGUAACGGCGCAUCAGCUACGGCGCCGUGAAUACGUUCCCAGGCCUUGUACACACCGCCCGUCACAUCAUGAAAGCCGGGAG